GGGGAAUAUUGCACAAUGGGCGCAAGCCUGAUGCAGCGACGCCGCGUGGGGGAUGACGGCCUUCGGGUUGUAAACCCCUUUCGCCCGGGACGAAGCGUAAGUGACGGUACCGGGAGAAGAAGCACCGGCCAACUACGUGCCAGCAGCCGCGGUAAUACGUAGGGUGCAAGCGUUGUCCGGAAUUAUUGGGCGUAAAGAGCUCGUAGGCGGUGUGUCACGUCUGCCGUGAAAACCUGCGGCUUAACCGUGGGCGUGCGGUGGAUACGGGCAUCACUUGAGUUCGGUAGGGGAGACUGGAAUUCCUGGUGUAGCGGUGGAAUGCGCAGAUAUCAGGAGGAACACCGGUGGCGAAGGCGGGUCUCUGGGCCGAGACUGACGCUGAGGAGCGAAAGCGUGGGGAGCGAAC
This 406-nucleotide ribosomal RNA is filed under the name uncultured bacterium. Its description in RNAcentral is "bacterial SSU rRNA". It matches the Rfam family "Bacterial small subunit ribosomal RNA", at positions 356 to 773 of the family's 1533-position model. The record is from RNAcentral.